This 72-nucleotide transfer RNA is filed under the name Corynebacterium variabile. Its description in RNAcentral is "tRNA-Arg". It matches the Rfam family "tRNA". Rfam says of the family: Transfer RNA (tRNA) molecules are approximately 80 nucleotides in length. The record is from RNAcentral. Lineage: Bacteria; Bacillati; Actinomycetota; Actinomycetes; Mycobacteriales; Corynebacteriaceae. RNAcentral also lists the same sequence under 1 other name.
GCGCCCGUAGCUCAACGGAUAGAGCAUCUGACUACGGAUCAGAAGGUUGGGGGUUCGAAUCCCUCCGGGCGC